GUAUGCUGCCUUUUGAAUAAAAAAAAAAUUAGACAUGCAGGUAUUCCGUUAUUGUUGCAAACAGAAACCACGGGAAGGAGACAGAACUCAUGGACUCGGUGACUGGAGAACAAAGUUUGAGCGUCUGAGGUUACUUAACGAUUUCACAUUUAAAAAUUAUUUAAAUUAAGUAAAAAAGGAUACAGAACACAUAAAUGGAACACAAGAAAACAAACAAAUGGGCAUUUUCAACGCAUAAAUGUUUAGGAGUGGAGACCGGCCAAGAGCCGCCUUGCACCGCAAAUGGGCCCUGAGGUCCAGGGCUGCAGGAGCAGGCUGGGGGGCCCGGCCAGAUGGAGGGGCAGACACCGGCACUCGCUGCCUACGUCACCGCCCUCAGUGCUGCCCACAAGCGGGUGCCCCACUGGGUCCUGCCACCCCAAAUCCCAGUACCAGAGCCAGGCCCGGCUCUGCCACCCCUGCCACCCGGUGCGGCACCCAGGCCCUGCUGGCACAAGGCCAUGGCUAAUCUGCUCUCAGAGGAAGCUGAGGAGCCCUGGUGUCUUCUCCCUGGGACACCCUGCUGCUCCCUCUAGCUGUGCCCUCCAUGGUGACUCCAGACAUGCACAUUCAGCCUCCUCCCUCCAGGACCAAACUCCUCAGCAGCUCCCACUACUCCCAGCAUGCCAUCUACCUCCUCAGCCCAGCAGCAAAGACAGGCACAGAAUGGUUCCCGAACCCAUCACUCCCGUCCGGAGAAGGAGCCCUCCACCCUCCACGCUCCAUUCGCUGUCCCCUCACCGGCCCCUGUGAGGAACCCCAGCCAGAGACACCAAUGGCCGCCACUGACUUUCACCCUGUCCUGAAUCACAGGACCAAGGAGGCUGCCCCGACAAGGGUCACUUCCAGACUCACUCCCUGUCAGCCACUGCCACAUGCCUGCCGUGGGCAGCAUUGGAGGACUAGGGGUACUCUGUCAGUCAGCCUAACAGGCUGGUCUGUCCUUCCUUCCUUCCUUCCUUCCUUCUUCCCUCCCUCCAUCCCUCCCUCCCUCCGUUCCUUCCUUCCUUCCUUCCUUCCUCCCUUCUUCCCUCCCUCCAUCCCUCCCUCCCUCCGUUCCUUCCUUCCUUCCUUGCUUCUUUCCUCCCGCUCUCCCUCCCUCCGUUCUCUGCUCCCUUCCUGUCUCCCUUUCCCUCCCUCCCUUCCUUCCUUCUUUCUUUCCUUCCUUUCUUCCUUCCUUCUUUGUUUCCUUCCUUAGUUCCUUCCUUCCUUCCUGCUUCUCUCCCUUCCUCCCUCCCUCACUUCCUUCCUUCUUCCUUCCUGCCUCCCUCCCUUCCUUCUCUGCUCCCUCCCUCCUCCUUCCCCCUCCUUCCCUGCCUCCCUCCUCCCUCCUUCUCUGCCUCCUCCCUCCCCCCUCCCUUCCUUCCUUCUCUGCUCCCUCCCUUCCUCCUCCCUCCUCCCUCCUCUCUCCCUUCCUUCCUUCCUUCCUUCUCUGCUCCCUCCCUCCUCCCUCCCUCCCUCCUCCCUCCCUCUCUCCCUCUCUCCCUCCUCCCUCCCCCCUCCCUUCCUUCCUUCCUCUCUGGUCAAAUGCAGGUACAUGAGAGUUCCCAUCGUCACCAUGGUAAGUGCACAGUUCCGUGGCAUUGGGAACCUGCACAUGGCCGUGCCACUGUCGCCACCAUGCAGCUCCAGCACCUUUUCAUCAUGCGAAACUGGAGCUCCGUCCUGACUAAUCACUCACUCCCAUCGGCCUCUGUCACUGGCCCUGCUGACUGCCAUUCUGCCAUCUUCCUCUUGAAUCUGACUCCUCUGGGGGCCUUCCAUCUGUGGGGUCAAAGCGUUGGUCCUAUUGUGACUGGCUGGCUUCACUCGGCACGAGGCUGUGAAGGCUGGUGGCGUUGCUGCAUGCGUCAGAGCACACUCCUUUUCCAGGCUCCGUAAGACCCCGAUGUGUGUGUCUACCCCAUUUCAGAUCCCCUCACCUGCUGGGUUGUUUCCACCUUUAGGCUAUUGUGACUGCACAGCUGUGAGCAUGGGUGUCUGAGUCCAUUCUGUGUGGCCAUAAAAGAACCUCUGUGAUGGGGUAAUUCAUCAAGCUCACAGUUCUGCCGGCUGAGAAGUUCAAUGGCAUGGCCCUGGCUUCUGUUGGAGGAGGUCAAAGGGGAAGCAGACACGGGAAGAGAGAUAAAGCUCAGGGAUGUCUUGGCUUCAGAACAAGCCCCACUCAUGGGAACAAAUCCAUUCCCGUGGGAACUCACCCCGUAUCACAAGAGGAGAAUCACUCCCAGCACCAGGCACUCCCUAGGGAGUCACUCCCACGACCCACACGUCUCCCUCUCCUCAGGCCCCAUCUCCCUACGCUGCCACACUGGGGGUCCCGUUUCAACAAGAGUUUUGCUGGGAACAGACGCACCGACUACAUCCAGGUCAUGGCAAGGGCUGUGCAAGUAUCUGAGUCCCUGCUUUGAUUUCUUUUGGGGAUAGACCUAGCAAUGGAAUGGCGGCUUCGCAGGGUAAUUUUGUGUUUACCUGUUUCUGGAAGGAGCACACUGAGCUGGCCAGAGCAGGCUUGUGUUUUCCUCUGUGCUCCUUCCUGCUUCCCAGGAUGCAGAUGAGAUGGCAGGUGCCCCAGCAGCCCUCGCCAACCAUAAGGCAUGGAUUCCUCACCUUCGGCUCAGGGAGCACAGAGACUGAGGGCCGUGGACUCGGGGUGAGAUGGUGGCGCCUCCAUCACAGACCCACAGACUCUGUGUCCAGCCCUUCCAGAAAGGUGACAGAAAUGAAAAUUCCGCCUUAUGGAAGACAAGGCACGGACGCUUUCCCUGACAGUAUCAUCAUCACGCAACUAGGACAGCUGACCUGCGUCUUCCUCACGACGUGGAAUGGUUUGAGUCAAGGGUUUUCAAGGCCACGAGCCACGUGGAGGCUGUGCCUUUUGUUUCCUGUGAGAAAUCUUCAACCAGCGCCACUCUCAGCCUCCCCUCUGCCAGCGCUUCUGUGGCUGCACCUGCAUUCGUGGGCUGUGGCUGCGAAGCACAGGAAUAAUUGAUGGCUCGUGGGGCACUUUGCUGGGCUGCUUCCAGAAAAGUUGACCCCUCCCUGCAAACCAGCACUGCCCAGCAUUCUUGUCCCGCCAAGCCUGACUGCGAGCUGUUGUGGCAUUGCCACUUUGCUCGGAAAGCGCCGCUUAUCUUUUAUUUCCCUUGCAUUUCUUUCAAUUCUACCAUUGACCGUUUCUCAUACAUGUGGUCAUCAUUGUAUUUCACCCCCAUUUUGUGAGGUUUAGUGUAUUCUUAAAGUUUCCUGGGUUUUGAUGAGAGCAUAUUCUGUCAUUAUAUUUAACAGGUGUUUUCCCCAGCUUGGAUGUGUUUGGCCAUUAGCUUCUUUUCUGCUAUUUUACACUAGUCUGUUAUUCUUCACUACAAAAGGACUCUGCCGAGGGUCCCCAUGCUCCCCAUGCUUCGGGCUGUGAGGUAGCAGGGGAAGGCAGGUGUCCUUCCUUCUUUGAAGUGUGGGUUGGGGCAGGACGGCAGACCCUGGGGUCACUGCUGAGGAGGGGAAGGAUGGGAUUAGGACUGUUCUCUUCCUGGCCUCACGAGCUCCCCCAGCUCCUUCUGGUGGUUGGAGAACAAACCUCCUGAUUGUCACGGAGAGUGAGUUUGUCCGUGGGGCCUUUCCUGCGAGGCUCACAUAGAACGGGCUGUGAGGUCCCUCCACUGAGGAGCAUGUGCCGGGCCAGGUGCCCACGACUGUUGGGAAAACCCAGGCCUGUGUUCCAGGAAGCAAAGGUCUUUAGAUGAAGGUUUUAAGAAUGAAAAUUAACCCACAGAAUGGUGAGGUUGGUUGGAGCCUGGAUUCCAUGGGCCUUUACCCUUCUGAUCGCUGGUGCCACGCCCCAUUGUGAGAAGUCAGGAGUCACAUCAGAAACUUGCUUUUCCUCAGCGGCACCUCCUGCUCGUGACGGGCCCUGUUCCUUUCCCCUCAGAGACGUACCUGGGAUCCAUCCUGGCCUCUCAGUCAGGGCCGACUUCCCCACCCCAGUGUUUGCUACCAUGAUUGUGACCUGUUCUAAGCUGAGUUUCUGCAGCUUUGCCGGUCACAUGCAUUCUUUCCUCCCCAAGACAACCCCUCAUCACACAGCAGAGACAGUGGUCACUGAGAACAUGUUCCGCCUCCCAUCUCUCCCCUUCGUGGGCACGUCAGUGGCCUCCUGCUGCACUCUGAACAAAAGCCAGAGACCCUGCUGAACCUGGGAUGGGUUGGUAGAAGAUGGGCUCCCCACGGGACCCGGGCGGGGGACAGCCCCCUCAGCCUCACGGCUUCCCAGACAGAGCGAAGGUGUCCUUCCAGUCUCUCCACAUGUCAUCUUAAAUAAAGUUAGUUAAUUCCA
Molecule: long non-coding RNA, 4369 nt
Organism: Pan troglodytes (chimpanzee)
Lineage: Eukaryota; Metazoa; Chordata; Mammalia; Primates; Hominidae
Exons: 4
Source: RefSeq, a predicted model, not a curated record